UACGAAGGGGGCUAGCGUUGUUCGGAAUUACUGGGCGUAAAGGGCGCGUAGGCGGCUUAUCAAGUCAGGCGUGAAAGCCCCGGGCUUAACCUGGGAACUGCGUUUGAGACUGGUAGGCUUGAGUACCGGAGAGGUAGGUGGAAUUCCCAGUGUAGAGGUGAAAUUCGUAGAUAUUGGGAAGAACACCAGUGGCGAAGGCGGCCUACUGGACGGUAACUGACGCUGAGGCGCGAAAGCGUGGGGAGCAAACAGG
This 253-nucleotide ribosomal RNA is filed under the name uncultured bacterium. RNAcentral describes it as "partial 16S ribosomal RNA". It matches the Rfam family "Bacterial small subunit ribosomal RNA", at positions 524 to 776 of the family's 1533-position model. The record is from RNAcentral.